This 310-nucleotide ribosomal RNA is filed under the name uncultured bacterium. RNAcentral's name for it is "partial 16S ribosomal RNA". It matches the Rfam family "Bacterial small subunit ribosomal RNA", at positions 503 to 807 of the family's 1533-position model. The record is from RNAcentral.
AAGAGACAGCAGCCGCCGCGGUAAUACGAAGGGUGCAAGCGUUAAUCGGAAUUACUGGGCGUAAAGCGUGCGUAGGCGGUGAGUUAAGUCUGCUGUGAAAUCCCCGGGCUCAACCUGGGAAUGGCAGUGGAUACUGGCUCGCUAGAGUGUGUCAGAGGAUGGUGGAAUUCCCGGUGUAGCGGUGAAAUGCGUAGAGAUCGGGAGGAACAUCAGUGGCGAAGGCGGCCAUCUGGGACAACACUGACGCUGAGGCACGAAAGCGUGGGGAGCAAACAGGAUUAGAUACCCCAGUAGUCCCUGUCUCUUAUAC